GUGAUCAUCAAAUCUUUGAACGCAAAUUGCACUCUCCUCGGAGAGUAUGCCUGUUUGAGGGUCAGCCUAUAAAAAUCGACAUCGUUGCUGUUUCGCGGUGGCGUUCGUCGGAAAUUGGGUCAUCUUAAAUCCUUUUGAUUUAAGCGACUUAAAAUUUUCUUUUGGUUCCAUGAACGUUUCUAAGAUCUAUUUCUUACACGUUUAAGGUAUUCAUUUUUACUUAACGUUACCAUCAAUA
Molecule: unclassified non-coding RNA, 238 nt
Filed under: Glomeraceae sp.
Lineage: Eukaryota; Fungi; Glomeromycota; Glomeromycetes; Glomerales; Glomeraceae
Description: partial contains 5.8S ribosomal RNA and internal transcribed spacer 2
Rfam family: 5.8S ribosomal RNA (bases 1-64)
Source: RNAcentral